This 233-nucleotide ribosomal RNA is filed under the name uncultured bacterium. RNAcentral describes it as "partial 16S ribosomal RNA". It matches the Rfam family "Bacterial small subunit ribosomal RNA", at positions 118 to 347 of the family's 1533-position model. The record is from RNAcentral.
UGAGCAAUCUGCCCUUCUCUUUGGAAUAAGCGUUGGAAACGACGUCUAAUGCCGAAUACGACCUCCUUUCGCAUGAUCGGAGGUGGAAAGCUCCGGCGGAGAAGGAUGAGCUCGCGGCCUAUCAGCUAGUUGGUGUGGGUAAUGGCCCACCAAGGCGACGACGGGUAGCUGGUCUGAGAGGAUGGCCAGCCCACACGUGGGACUGAGACACCGGCCCAGACCUCGUACGGGGA